GGGGAUGUAAAGGUUUCGACAGGGGUGCGUGUGGUAUAGAUAGCGAGUCGGCGUUCCAUGAGGCCGUUAAACGGUGGGAAAACAUUUAAACGCAGAAGAAAAUUUUGCAUUAGCUGCAUAAGCUACGUCCCUCAUACUUGUGCCUACCAAGUGUGAAUGGGUCUGUGAGCGAUAGCAACCCGAGAUCUCAAUCAUAGACUGUGCUCGGAGAAGUCUAUAUGGCAACACUCUUGGACAGGGGUUCGACUCCCCUCAUCUCCACCA
Molecule: transfer-messenger RNA, 264 nt
Filed under: Veillonella parvula
Lineage: Bacteria; Bacillati; Bacillota; Negativicutes; Veillonellales; Veillonellaceae
Rfam family: transfer-messenger RNA
About the family: Bacterial tmRNA, also known as 10Sa RNA or SsrA, is named for its dual tRNA and mRNA-like properties. Its role is to liberate the mRNA from a stalled ribosome.
Source: RNAcentral